This is a long non-coding RNA of Quercus robur (English oak), 887 nucleotides long. RefSeq lists it as uncharacterized. Lineage: Eukaryota; Viridiplantae; Streptophyta; Magnoliopsida; Fagales; Fagaceae. The transcript has 2 exons. The record is from RefSeq and is a predicted model, not a curated record.
UUCUCCCUUCUCUUUUUUCCUUUUUCCUCUCUUUACUGCUUCCCCAAACCCUAAGAACUAUAAAUUCCGCCCCUCCUCUCUUGCGCUUCUCUCUCCCACGCUACUUAGAUCAGAUCUCUUUCACUUCUCCCCAAACCCUAAGAACUAAAAAUUCCGCCCCUCCUCUUAAUUCUCCUCAACACAGCAAUCAAAACCCAUAGGCCACAAAUAGCAAACAAACCCAUAGGCCACAAAUAGCAAACAAACCCGCAGCACUCCUCAACACAGCAAUCAAAACCCAUAGGCCACAAAUAGCAAACAAACCCGCAGCAACUCACAAGAACUGAAGAUCUGUUUUCAGUCUUUCUCUCUCCCUAGACCGGCGGCCUUUCUCUCUCCCUGCAGAGUGGAUUUCCUCAAGCGGAUUUCAGGUUCGCCAAAAAAGAAAGAAGCACCAGUGGCUUUAGAUUUCAGGUUCGCCAAAAAAGAAAGAAGCACCAGAUGGGUGUGAAGAAAGAAAGAAGAAAGAAGAAGAGAGUAAAAAAAAAAAAAGAGAGAGCCAGUCGUGGGGUGGGUCUGACUUGAUAGAGACAACUCAGGAGAAUGGGUCCCGUCAGAUUGGUUUUUUAUCAUCUCUGCCACUGAUCAGGAAGAGUAAUGGAAUAACAGCUACAUAUAUUUUUUUUUUGCUGAAUAUAACUCCUACAUAUUUAUGGAGACAGGGUAUAUAGUCCAGGGGCGGAGCCAGGGGACAGGUUGUGAUCUUUAUAUAUCAGUUAUGACAAACUUCUACACACACAUAAAUUAAUUUACUAGAAGAAUUUAUCAUCUUUUAAAUUUUAAUGAGCAUAUAAAGUCAUGUAUUUUUUCUAUUAGACAUGUACAAAAAUUUAUCAUUUUCUACAUAG